Molecule: long non-coding RNA, 1462 nt
Organism: Mobula hypostoma (lesser devil ray)
Lineage: Eukaryota; Metazoa; Chordata; Chondrichthyes; Myliobatiformes; Myliobatidae
Exons: 3
Source: RefSeq, a predicted model, not a curated record
AAAUGAUAGGAGAAGACAGGAGGGGGAGGGAUGGAGCCAAGAGCUGGACAGGUGAUUGGCAAAAGGGAUAUGAGAGGAUCAUGGGACAGGAGGCCCAGGGAGAAGGAAAAGUGGGAGGGGGGAAAAACCCAGAGGAUGGGCAAGGGGUAUAGUCAGAGGGACAGAGGGAGAAAAAGGAGAGAGAGAGAAAGAAUGUGUAUAUAUAAAUAAAUAACGGAUGGGGUAUGAGGGGAAGGUGGGGUAUUAUCGGAAGUUUGAGAAGUCAAUGUUCAUGGGAAUCAUCCUGCAUAAUGUGUUACCAAAGGGGAGAGGGAGGGAAUAGUCCUGCACAAUGUGCUGUCAAAGGACUGAGAGAGGGAAUCAUCCUGCAUAAUGUGCUAUGAAAGGGCAGAGGUAGGGAAUUGUCCUGCACAAUGUGCUGUCAAAGGAGGGAAUGGAGUGAUGGUGCUGGUGGGAUGAAGAAAAAAGAGUAGACAUAAGGAGCACUUAACCAGAAGUGACAGAAAUUGAUGCUUCCCAUCUUCCCUUUCCCUUCCUUUGCCCAUCAACCACACACACCCCUCCCUUCAGUUUGCCUAUUCACUGCCUUCCUUCAAUUUUAUGGGUCACUGCCCUCUCCUAUCAGAUUCCAUCUUCUUCAGUCAUUUGUAAUUUCCACCAAUCAGCUCCCAGCUUUUCACAUCAUUUCCACUCUCCUUCAUCUGCCUAUCACCUCCCUCAUCUGGCUCUACCUGCUAGCCAGCCACUCCUUCCAUCUUUCUAUGCUUACAAUCUCUCCACAUAUGCUGUUGGGCUACUGAAUGCUUCAGUUUGGACACAGCUUUCGAGUCAACCAGUUUGAAAAUGCCUUUCUCCCUCUGAGUCCAUUUGAUAUAUCGGGGACAUGUAUUCUUGUCUUGGAGCAAAGCCAGAAGGAACUCCCAGAGGGGUACCUGCAGCUCCUUUUGAUAUUUUCACAGUGAAAUUAAACACAAAGUCAACAGUGAACAGAAAAUAUCAGCGAACAGCAAAUGCACGUGUAACCAGUACGACCGCUGAGCCACAAUUGACGUCUGGGGGCCUCUGCUAGUGUUGUCACGUCACACCUGAGUGACGUCAGCUGUUGGUGAAAAAAACUUCGGUUUUCGGAGCUUUUUAGAUUUCAGAUUUUUGGAUAAAGGAUUUCUGCUUUGCCCUUAAUGGGCUCAUGCAGGCAAGAGAGCUGAUUCUUUUAAAAUGUUAUUUAAAUUAAUUAUGAUACUUUCAAUUAAAUUUAUAUGAGCUCUUAAAUAAACUCAUUACGUGUCAUAUUUUUUUUUGUUUUUCAAAUUAUCUGCAUCCUGUUUGAAAUGUCUCUAGUCACUGGAAGCACUUCCAAGCAGUUGCAAAGUUCCACUCUCUGCCAGCUCUCCUUGAAGCAAUAACGCCUGGACCACAGAGACACCCACAACAUAUAAAUAGUGUGGGUUGCCGGCCCAGAUCA